This 7635-nucleotide long non-coding RNA is filed under the name Homo sapiens (human). RNAcentral's name for it is "HSALNT0406388". Lineage: Eukaryota; Metazoa; Chordata; Mammalia; Primates; Hominidae. The record is from RNAcentral.
AGAUGGAGAGUUUAACUUGUUCGCCCAGGCUGGAGUGAAGUGGCACGAUCUUGGCCUACUGCAACCUCUGCCUCCCGGAUUCAAGCGAUUCUCCUGCCUCAGCCUCCCGAGUAGUUGGGAUUACAGUCGUGCGCCACCACGCCCGGCUAAUGUUUAUAUUUUUAGUAGAGACGGGUUUUCACCAUAUUGGUCAGGCUGGUCUCGAACUCGUGACCUCAGGUGAUUCCCUCCCCCCGCCCCACCACCUCAGCCUCCCAAAGUGCUGGGAUUACAGGCCUGAGCCACCGUUCCCGGCCUCGAGCGCCUUCUUAUAAACUGGAUGGUGGUUUUUGUUUUCACCUUCAAAGUCGAAUCUCCCUAGUCCGUUUAUUACCAGAAAGAGGUCUCCACUCAGACCCAGCGAGAGGCUUCUUGGAUGUCGCGUAGGAAAGAAUUCGGGGCGAGUCCACGGACUAAAGUGAAAGCAAGUGUAUUAGAGAAGUGAGAAAGCAAAAGAAUGGCAGAGCAGGGCAUUCCUGAAAGCGGGAGGAGGAAGGCGCCCGCCUUAGGUACAGUGCUUGUUCAAAUCUAAGGUAACACAGCCAAAGAAAUCUUGGGGGACAUGGGCUCUACCACGAGGGCCCACGACCAAGGUUUCAUGCGCGUCCGUGUGAAGAGACCACCAAACAGGAUUUGUGUGAGCAACAUGGCUGUUUAUUUCACCUGGGUGCAGGCGGGCUGAGUCCAAAAAGACAGUCAGCGAAGGGAGAUAGGGGUGGGGCCGUUUUAUAGGAUUUGGGAAGGUAAUGGAAAAUUACAGUCAAAGGGGGUUGUUCUCUGGUGGGCAGGGGUGGGGGGUCACAAGGUGCUCAGUGGGGGAGCUUCUGAGCCAGGAGAAGGAAAUUCACAGGGUUAAUCACUUAGUUAAGGUUGGGCAGGAACAAAUCACGAUGGUGGAAUGUCAUCAGUUAAGGUGGGGCAGGGCCUUUUCACUUCUUUUGUGAUUCUUCAGUUACUUCAGGCCAUCUGGGCGUAUACGUACAAGUCACAGGGGAUGCGAUGGCUUGGCUUGGGCUCAGAGGCCUGACACAAGGAUUGUUCAUCUUUGUUUACUGACUUUGGCAAAGAUCUAUAUUAUCUUUAAAGCGAAACCUAAAUGAAGAAUGCUUUUGAUCUUAAGAUAUUGUUAGGUUUUGAAGGGAAGACGAGAGUUAAAGAAUGACACACAGGUCGGGCGCUGUGGCUCACGCCUGUAAUCCCAGCACUUUGGGAGGCCGAGGCGGGUGCAUCACCUGAGGUCAGGAGUGGGAGACCAGCCCGACCAACAUGGUGAAACCUCAUCUCUACUAAAAAUACAAAAAUUAGCGGGGCGUGGUGGCACAUGCCUGUAAUCUCAGCUACUUGGGAGGCUGAAGCAGGAGAAUCACUUGAACCCGCGAGGCAGAGGUUGCAGCGAGCCAAAAUCACGCCAUUGCACUCCAGGCUGGGUAAUACAGUGAGACUGCGUCUCAAAAAAAAAAAAAAAAAAAAAAAAAAACAAAGGGCAGCUCAACAGCAACACAGGUAUAUGGCAAAAACCUACAGAGAUGGGGGAUCAGCUUAAUGCCAGAGCCCACUGCUGCUUACAGGCUGGGGUACUUAUAGGGCAGGAGGGGAAUGGGCAGUAUGGCUUGCCAUGUGAAUAUACUUACCAGUAUAUCUAUCCAUAAAACGUUCUAUGAUCAGGCAGUUUGGCCCUUGUUCCCUCAGAAAGUGACAGUGAUGUUCCUUGCACCUUUGCUGAGCAAGGUUUGAUAGGGAUGUUCCUUCAAUUGGGCCUUUACCCAACAGGGUUUGGUAAGAAAGUUGGGCAGGAAAUUUCUCACGGCCUGAACCCCCGUGGAAUGUUUCGCUUUGACCAGUGUCUGCGAAAUGGCGGGGGGCUUAGAAAAUGGUGCAGUUUGGCAGGGCGUGGUGGCUCACGCCUGUAAUCCCAGCACUUUGGGAGGCUGAGGCGGGUGGAUCACAAGGUCAAGAGAUCGAGACCAUCCUGGCCAACAUGGUGAAACCCUAUCUCUACUAAAAAUACAAAAAAUUAGCCGGGCGUGGUAGCGGGUGCCUGUAGUCCCAGCUACUCAGGAGGCUGAGGCAGGAGAAUGGCGUGAACCCAGGAGGCGGAGCUUGCAGUGAGCUGAGAUUGCCCCACUGCACUCCCGCCUGGGCAACAGAGCGAGACUCCAUCUCAAAAAAAAAAAAAAAAGAAAGAAAGAAAAUGGUGCAGUUUGGACUAACAGAUACAGCGACAUCAAAAUGUUUCCUGGGUCUGUUAAGUCCUGGGUUUGUUUAGUGAACGUUAUUAAUCUGUUCCUGUAACCCUAAACAUCUUGUGACUACUAAGAAUGCAGCCAACAGGUCUCUGCCUGAUUUUACCUACUGCCUCUUCAAGAUGGAAUUGCUCUGGUUCCAAUGCCUCUGACAAACUGGCUGCUUGAUCUCUAGGUUGUGACCAUGUCAGGGAUAGAGGCAGCUUAGGUAGAGGUAGACUUUCUUGUACUCAACAUUGAAUUGUGGCUUAGUUAAAAUCAGAACUUUCAUUCUUGGAAUAAUACAGUAUUGUAAGGGUAAGCCAAAUGAUUAACACAUUUACUUAAUUACACAUUGUAGCAUUGAAAUAACUGAUGCCUUUCUAAUGCAAAUAAAAAAGAUUUAUGUAUAUGAUAGCACUGUAGCUGUCUUGCGCCUUACUGGAUGGAUUUCAUUGCUGGCUAAAAUGACAACUUUAAACUGGCUAUAACUCAGAAGAAUGGAGGCACUUUGCACGCAGACAUCUACCUCCAUUGAAUUUGGCUACUUCCUUUUAAUGAAGCUCAAGUCUCAUGUUAUGAAAUACUCCUCCAAAGGUGUUAGCCCUUUUUUCCUAUACUCUGCCUUUCAAAAAUCCCUUUCAAUUUGCUUAACCCCUGAGAGCCAAAGGACUGUGAUGGUUGUUAGGCUGGGUCAUUGUCAUCAUGUUCAGUAAAUAAAUACCCAGACAUGUCAGUUUACCUACUUUACCUGAUUCCAAAUGAGUCCAUGGUGAUGUGAUCCUGCCUUUCUUUCUGCUGUUAGAGGUCCAUGCCAGGAGCCAGCUUUGUAUCAGUUUUGCCACAGUGAUCAGGUCAUAAAUGUCUCAGAUCAUUCAAGCCCAGUUUAACCUAGCAAAGAAAAUGGCAAGAUAAUAUUGCUGUGUUCUAGCUGUGUUCUGGCCUUCAUUUUAGGUAGGCUUAAACCUCGACCUGGAGUCAUUCCUGUUACGAUUUACCAGAAAACACCCAACAGGAAGCCUACAGAACUACACUUUGCUCCUAAUGUUAAGGAAUGAAAACAGGAAAUGUUCUGUUAUCUGCCUGGCAGUGGGGCUUUGGAGUUAAUCUCCUGGCCGUAUCACUUACCAGCUUGGCAGCCUUGGACAAACUGAGCUCUGAGCUCAAGUUUCCUCAUCUGUAAAGCGAGGGUGUAUUAUGUACCUUCAUUUGGUUGUACAGAUUAAGUGUGAACACUUAGGUAAAGCACACAGUAUGGGGCUGAGUAAAUGGACUGUUAAAUAAGACAGUAUCACUUGUUUUUAAGUUCCUUGGAGCUUUCUCCCCUAAACAGCUCAAAAGAUUUUCAUUUUUUUCUAAUGCUAAUAUUUUUCUAAUUCUUGUUUUAAAAUAUUUUACUGUAAAAUAUUUUGGCCAGGUGUAGUGGCUCACACCUGUAAUCCCAACACUUUGGGAGACCAAGGCAGGAGGAUUGCUUGAGCCCAGGAGUUGGAGACCAGACUGAGCAACAUAAUGAGACCUCGUCUCGUCAAAAAACAAAAAUGGAAAAUUUUUAAAAAACAGGCCGGGCAUGGUGGCUCACGCCUGUAAUCCCAGCACUUUGGGAGGCCAACGUAGGCAGAUCGCUUGACCCCAGGAGUUUGAGACCAGCCUUGGCAACAUGGCAAAACCCUAUCUCUACGAAAACUGUUUAAAUUAGCUGGGCGUGGUGGCACGUGGUGGUUCUAGCUACUUGGGAGGGCUGACGUGGGAGGAUUGCUUAACCCCGAGAGGUCGAGGUUGUAGUGAGCUGUGAUUGCACCACUGCACUCCAGCCUGGGCGACAGAGCAAGACCUUGUUUCAACACAAGUAAAAUAUUUGUGAAAUGGGAAUUCAGUUUCAUUUUUUUUUUAACUGAUCAAAAAUAUAACUUUCACCCCCACUGAGGCUUAAAAGAACAAAAACAAAAAAGUGUGACUGACAUUCGGCGGUUUUGGCUUCUAGACCGCCACUAAUAUUGAGCUGAGUUCCUGUAACUCUGGCUAAAAGCAAAGAGCUGUGUUUUAGCCAGAGCAGUUUUAUUAUGAGUUAGAUUUAUGAUUUCCAGUAGGCUUUUUGAAAUGUUGGCCAGAGGUCAGGGACUCCCUGUCCCCAUUCAUAGAUUCUAGACUGAAUCUCUUUCAAUAUGAACACAUUUGGCUCUUUAAGAAAGACUUAACUAAACUGGGAUUCAACUGGAUUGCCUCGAGACUUUGGGCAGAGCACAUGACUUAUUUUGUCCUAGAGAUUCCAAUCUGCUGGACACUCAGAAACUUUCACAACUUCUAUUUUUCACAUUUUUUCAUAUUUUAGGCUUCAGUGCAGAAGGAUUAAAAGUAAUGGCUAAGUUUUCUAAUGCUGUUAUUUAUUUUUUCUUGAGGCUUUAUGGUCACUAAAAAAGUAACAAUAUAUAGUACGUAAAAAAACUUAAAGAUACUGUGGCUUAUAAAAGCGUAUCUUUUUUCUGAGAACAAAAUUAGCCAAUUAAAUAAUAAAACCAUCAAGAGAUGUCACCAGUCAAUGAUGAUGGGGCAAAAAUUGUUCUGCAUUCCGAGGAGGGAGAAAUCGAUGCAAGCAGAAGCGAUUAAACAUUCACAUCUUGGAGCUAAAUGACCUCCUAGGAUGGAUGGGUUUUAUAGAGGUGGAGAGGUGGGGGGAGGGUGCUGGAUGAAAUAACUGGAAAAUCUCCUUUUUCUUACUAUUUUUCUUCAGUCCCUUUAUAGGCACAACUGCUUAAAGAAACCAGAUGGCCCCAGGAUGGUGCCAGAGCUUCCUGACCCCUUAUCAGAUACCAGAGGAAGAUAAGACUGCAGAGCGGAACAGGAUAGGCAACCCCUGGUUGGCUUCAGAUCAUUAUCAUGUCGUUAUAAUGCUAAAAUUCCUUCUCCUAAAAGAAAGUCUCCACCAUUUUGUGUACAUGUGAUGUAUGAAGACGUAUGUUUAUGAAUUGUGUGUGCACAUUUAGAGUCUCACUUUGCACAUGCUAACAUUCCUCUCCUGUCCCACACCUAGUCCUAAAAACUCCAUGCCUUCUAGUGUUUGGGGAGAAGGGGCAUUUAGAGUUAAGAGCCCCUUCCCUGGCCAGCGACUAAAACCUGGUUACCGUUUACAGUUGAAUGUCCUCUGCGUAAAUCGAUACAAAGUGGGGAAAGAGCUGAGUUUACCAGUGACGACUGGAAGACCCUCUCUUUGAGAUUUGUACCAAACCAGGUCUCAGUCUGCCUGUACAUGCUCUGUCAUUGCUUUCACUGUGUUGACCUACUUGCUGCUUUACCCUUUGUGUCUGGCCCUCUCUUGUACUUAGUUCUUUCCUCCUGUCCGUCUCCACCCUCUUUCACAUACUUUUUCUCAGUUUUGUGACUUUAGCAGACCUUUUCGGCUGGCCCCCAGCACAUCCCAUGGCCUGGCAGCAGGUGGUUUCUGCCUGGAGGGCUCAGCCAUCAAAAGAUUUCAAGAUGUAUAUUUUGUAAGGCAAAGCCUAUACUCAUAGACUUUGUGAAGGACCUGGUUGGGGAGACAGGAGAAAAAAUGGAUGGGAAAAAAGUAGUAAGCAGUUUUACUGUGUGAGAUAUUAGUGGGCGAGAUAACAUUGAAGCAGUGCUUGAUUAAAUACCAAAUGAAGUUCCAAUGGUAGCUGAGAGAAGGGAGGGGAGAGACCAUUUCAGACUGGGGCCUGUGUUAGUCUGCUUGUGCUGUUGUAGCAAUGUAGCACAGACUGAGUGGUUUAAACAAAAGAUUGAUUUCCUCACCGUCCUGGAGUCUGGAUAUCCAAGAUCAAGGUGUCAGCAGGGUUAAUUUCUUCUGAGGACUCUCCUUGGCUUUUAGAUGGUCACUUUCUCCCCGUGUCUUCAUGGUCUUCCCUCUCUAUUUUGUCUGUGUCUCUAAUCCCUUAUACAAACACCAGUCAGGCUGGGCACGGUGGCUCACACUUGUAAUCCCCACACUUUGGGAGGCUGAGACAGGAGGAUCACUUGAGGUCAGGAGUUUGAGACCAGCUGGACCAGUAUGUUAAAACCCCGUCUCUACUGAAAAUACAAAAAUUAGCCAGGAGUGGUAGCUCACUCCUGUGGUCCCAGCUACUUGGGAGGCAAAGGCAGGAGAAUUGCUUGAACCUGGGGAGGGUGAGGUUGCAGUGAGCUGAGAUCAUACCACUGCACUCCAGCCUGGGCAACAGAGCAAGACUCCAUCUCAAAAACAAAUAAAGCCGGACGCAGUGGCUCGCGCCUGUAAUCCCAACACUUUGGGAGGCCGAGGCAGGCAGAUCACUUGAGGUUAGGAGUUCGAGACCAGCCUGGCCAACACAGUGAAACCUCAUCUCUGCUAAAAAUACAAAAAUUAGCUGGGCAUGGUGGUACACGUCUGUAGUCCCAGCUACUUGGAAGGCUGAGGCAGGAGAAUCGCCUGAACCCAGGAGGCAGAGGUUGCAGUGAGCCGAGAUUGUGACAUUGCAUUCCAGCCUGGGCGACAAGAGCAAAACUCCGUCUCAAAGACAGACAAACAAAAAACACCAGUCCCUGGAUUUCUAACUGCCUCAUUUUAAUUUAGUUACUUCCGAGGCCCUUUCUCCAAAUGUAGUCACUUUUUGAGGUACUGGGGGUUAGGUCUUCAACAUAAGAAUUUGAGGGAAAUAAAACUGAGCCCAUAGCAGGGUAAUAGGAAAGGCUUUACCAAGUUAAAGCUGGGAUUGGAAAUACCCCAUUUCUGUGAUUAAAAAAUGUACCUUUGACAUUUCUGAAAUCAGUAUAUUUCUGACCUUCAGGGUACAGUUUAAAAAGGCAUACUGCCCUGGUUUUACCAUUAGUGGUUGAAAGGAUGGACAGUACAGACUUCUACUGGGAAAGAGGUCUUAGUGUUAGAUGCAUCAGCUUCUUGGGUCAGGGGCAAGAUUUUUCUCUAAGUUGCCUAUCGGAAUUGAAUCUGCCUUGCCUGAGCCUCUCCUUUCAGACUUUCUUCCCUCUCCCCAGCCAUCAGUGACCUUUCAGUCUUCAUCCCAGGUCCUCUUUCUUCCUCUGCCUCAGAGCCUAGUUAAUUGCUUCUAUUCAGUGAAAUUAGAGUUCAAGAGUCUGGGACUGGGAUUCCUUCUCAGAGAAUGCAGGAGUAGAAGGCAAACACAUCUGACUUCUUGCUUACGUCAUAGAACAUUACAGGAUGCUGUGGACUGAAUUGUGUCCCCCACGAAUUCGUAUGUUGAAACCCUAACUCCUAGUGUGAUUGAAUUUAGAGUAAGAAAGUAAUUAAGGUUAAAUGAUGUCAUAUGGCAUGUGAAAACACAGCCAGAAGCUGGCCAUCUGCAUACUACCAGGAACUGACUUGCCAGCCUCCAGGACUGUGAGAAAAUAAACUGUUGCUUAAGCC